Small nuclear RNA from Schistocerca serialis cubense, 105 nucleotides. Lineage: Eukaryota; Metazoa; Arthropoda; Insecta; Orthoptera; Acrididae. The record is from RefSeq and is a predicted model, not a curated record.
GCUCACUUCGGCAGUACAUAUACUAAAAUUGGAAUGAUUGAGAAAAGCUUAGAAAGGCCCCUGUGCAAGGAUGACAUGUAACAUAGUGAAGAGUUCCAAGUUAUA